Molecule: non-coding RNA, 644 nt
Filed under: Georgenia sp. SUBG003
Lineage: Bacteria; Bacillati; Actinomycetota; Actinomycetes; Allobogoriellales; Allobogoriellaceae
Description: bacterial SSU rRNA
Rfam family: Bacterial small subunit ribosomal RNA
Source: RNAcentral
UCGAACGAUGAGGGCCCGGGCUUGCCCGGGUCUGAUUAGUGGCGAACGGGUGAGUAACACGUGAGUAACCUGCCCCCGACUUCGGGAUAACCGCGAGAAAUCGUGGCUAAUACCGGAUAUGACGCCCCUGCCGCAUGGUGGGUGUGGAAGACUGUGUCGGUCGGGAUGGCUCGCGGCCUAUCAGCUUGUGGUGGGGUGAUGGCCUACCAAGGUGACGACGGGUAGCCGGCCUGAGAGGGUGACCGGCCACACUGGGACUGAGACACGGCCCAGACUCCUACGGGAGGCAGCAGUGGGGAAUAUUGCACAAUGGGCGCAAGCCUGAUGCAGCGACGCCGCGUGAGGGAUGACGGCCUUCGGGUUGUAAACCUCUUUCAGUAGGGAAGAAGCCUCUCGGGGUGACGGUACCUGCAGAAGAAGCGCCGGCUAACUACGUGCCAGCAGCCGCGGUAAUACGUAGGGCGCAAGCGUUGUCCGGAAUUAUUGGGCGUAAAGAGCUCGUAGGCGGUCUGUCGCGUCUGCUGUGAAAACGCGGGGGCUCAACCCCGCGCCUGCAGUGGGUACGGGCAGACUAGAGUGCGGUAGGGGAGACUGGAAUUCCUGGUGUAGCGGUGGAAUGCGCAGAUAUCAGGAGGAACACCGGU